Pezoporus occidentalis (night parrot) is the source of this 884-nucleotide long non-coding RNA. RefSeq lists it as uncharacterized. The transcript has 4 exons. The record is from RefSeq and is a predicted model, not a curated record. Lineage: Eukaryota; Metazoa; Chordata; Aves; Psittaciformes; Psittacidae.
CUGGAACUCACAGAUGGACCAGGCACCAAGCCCCUACUUUCUCUUCUUUACAGUUUGUUUACUUCUUUUGCAACUUGCUUAGUUUCAUGUCACCUUAGAAACCUCAGUUGGACUCCAACUGAUCACACAGCUAACAGUCAGAGGCGUGUCAAGAAGAAGAUACUCGAGUUCACUCGCAUUUAGCUGAUUUAGCCAUGUUAACUACAACCACAGCAGAGCCUGGGUACCUGUACCAGGUAGCAGCAACACCAGAAGCAGACAUUCCCUGCAGACAACUCUCAAGUGCACCGAGUAGAUAGAUGUUGAUGUCUGCUGACUAUUGUUUGUGUCACCUGAGGUGCAAUUAGGUGCCCAAGAAAUCCAUGCAGGACUGCCAAGGAUGGCACUCCAGGUAUGUGACUCCUUUACCAAUAUGGAGCAGCAGCUGGAGUCCAGAUGGGAGAACUGAGCACUUCCAAUAGUGCUGGACUCCUACAACUAGAUCAAGCCUCUGAACGCUGGUAGUUUAAUCUGAGGCUUUCCAUUUUAAAGCAACUCUGAAAUUCUAGGCAGAAGUAUUUCUUCAAAUGUUACCAUAAACGUGAAAAAGGAAGGCACAAGACUAUAUUUAGGAAAGAAACAAUGCUUAAAAACGGCACUAUGCAACAUCUUGAAGGUUAUCUGAAGUAGGGCAUAGAGCAGUGCUAGCACACUGACUACAGAAGGCGCUGCAGAAGACAAGGCCCUUCUCAUGAAGCUUUACUUCCUGCCUGCAGGAACUACUGAGUACUAAGUGCAAUAGCUAAACAACUCAGAAAGACAACUCGUAUUGGUAACUCUGUUCUUAUACCAGCUAACCUAAGCACUUAUCCAUGCCAUGGGUAACACUCCUAUUGCUCUAGAAG